Molecule: ribosomal RNA, 305 nt
Filed under: uncultured bacterium
Lineage: Bacteria
Description: bacterial SSU rRNA
Rfam family: Bacterial small subunit ribosomal RNA
Source: RNAcentral
CCUACGGGACGCAGCAGUGAGGAAUAUUGGUCAAUGGGCGGAAGCCUGAACCAGCCAAGUCGCGUGAGGGGAUAAGGCCCUACGGGUCGUAAACCUCUUUUGCCGGGGAGCAAGGGCGAGGACGUGUCCCGGCCCGGAGAGUACCCGGAGAAAAAGCAUCGGCUAACUCCAUGCCAGCAGCCGCGGUAAUACGGAGGGUGCAAGCGUUACUCGGAAUCACUGGGCGUAAAGAGCGCGUAGGCGGGAUAGCAUGUCAGAUGUGAAAACCUAUGGCUUAACCAUAGAACUGCAUUUGAAACUGUUAU